RNAcentral lists this non-coding RNA (21 nucleotides) under Caenorhabditis elegans. Lineage: Eukaryota; Metazoa; Nematoda; Chromadorea; Rhabditida; Rhabditidae. The record is from RNAcentral.
UCCCAGAAAAAUGUUGAGUUU